AGGGUUUGAUCAUGGCUCAGGACGAACGCUGGCGGCGCGCCUAACACAUGCAAGUCGAACGAGAGAGAGGAAGCUUGCUUCCUCAAUCGAGUGGCGAACGGGUGAGUAACGCGUGAGGAACCUGCCUCAAAGAGGGGGACAACAGUUGGAAACGACUGCUAAUACCGCAUAAGCCCACAGCUCGGCAUCGAGCAGAGGGAAAAGGAGCAAUCCGCUUUGAGAUGGCCUCGCGUCCGAUUAGCUAGUUGGUGAGGUAACGGCCCACCAAGGCGACGAUCGGUAGCCGGACUGAGAGGUUGAACGGCCACAUUGGGACUGAGACACGGCCCAG
RNAcentral lists this ribosomal RNA (331 nucleotides) under uncultured bacterium. RNAcentral describes it as "bacterial SSU rRNA". It matches the Rfam family "Bacterial small subunit ribosomal RNA", at positions 8 to 334 of the family's 1533-position model. The record is from RNAcentral.